UGAACGCUGGCGGCGUGCCUACUACAUGCACGUCGAGCGACCAGACGAGGAGCUUGCUCCUCUGACGUUAGCGGCGGACGGGUGAGUAACACGUGGAUAACCUACCUAUAAGACUGGGAUAACUUCGGGAAACCGGAGCUAAUACCGGAUAAUAUAUUGAACCGCAUGGUUCAAUAGUGAAAGACGGUUUUGCUGUCACUUAUAGAUGGAUCCGCGCCGCAUUAGCUAGUUGGUAAGGUAACGGCUUACCAAGGCAACGAUGCGUAGCCGACCUGAGAGGGUGAUCGGCCACACUGGAACUGAGACACGGUCCAGACUCCUACGGGAGGCAGCAGUAGGGAAUCUUCCGCAAUGGGCGAAAGCUUGACGGAGCAACGCCGCGUGAGUGAUGAAGGUCUUCGGAUCGUAAAACUCUGUUAUUAGGGAAGAACAAAUGUGUAAGUAACUAUGCACGUCUUGACGGUACCUAAUCAGAAAGCCACGGCUAACUACGUG
This 495-nucleotide ribosomal RNA is filed under the name uncultured bacterium. RNAcentral describes it as "partial 16S ribosomal RNA". It matches the Rfam family "Bacterial small subunit ribosomal RNA", at positions 30 to 507 of the family's 1533-position model. The record is from RNAcentral.